GAUGAACGCUGGCGGCGUGCUUAACACAUGCAAGUCGAACGAAGAUGCCGGAGUGCUUGCACUUUGGCAGACUGAGUGGCGGGCGGGUGAGUAACGCGUGGGUAACCUGCCUUAUACAGGGGGAUAACAGUUGGAAACGACUGCUAAUACCGCAUAAGCGCACGGUAUCGCAUGAUACAGUGUGAAAAACUCCGGUGGUAUAAGAUGGACCCGCGUCUGAUUAGCCAGUUGGCAGGGUAACGGCCUACCAAAGCGACGAUCAGUAGCCGGCCUGAGAGGGUGAACGGCCACAUUGGGACUGAGACACGGCCCAAACUCCUACGGGAGGCAGCAGUGGGGAAUAUUGCACAAUGGGGGAAACCCUGAUGCAGCGACGCCGCGUGAGUGAUGAAGUAUUUCGGUAUGUAAAACUCUAUCAGCAGGGAAGAUAAUGACGGUACCUGACUAAGAAGCACCGGCUAAAUACGUG
RNAcentral lists this ribosomal RNA (469 nucleotides) under uncultured bacterium. RNAcentral describes it as "bacterial SSU rRNA". It matches the Rfam family "Bacterial small subunit ribosomal RNA", at positions 28 to 507 of the family's 1533-position model. The record is from RNAcentral.